AAUACUAUUGCGUUAAGUUUAAAAAUCACAAUUUGUUCCUGCCAUUGAUUAAACUUAAUUGAUCGUAGAUGUAUCUCUGACAUUGAUUUUAUUUUCCCUGAUUUUAUAAGUUUUAUUUAAUUGAUCUCUUUAAGGUUUUCUGAUACUUGAUUAUCUACUUAUAUUCCUGGUAGAGUCCAAUAUACUUCUCAUUUUCAUUCGUUGUAAUCAGCAUAAAAGGUGACAGUUCCCAUGACUUUAAAGAUUUAUCUAGGCAUGCCUUGUGUUACAAAUCUAUAAUGUUGCUUCCAAGUGAAAUUCAAAUGUAAGAAAGACAAGUUUACGGAUGCCGGAUCAUUGACCUCCGGGAUUGGCUACCAUUUGACGACAAAAUGGAAGAUUCUAGAAGCUCCAAGAAUUUUGGCAUAAGGACCAAUAGGAGGCGAAUAUUAGCUAUCCUUCGAGAAGUUUCUAUGCUCAGUGUCGGAAACUGAAAGGCCAACAGGAUCAUUUGAAGUCAGUCGUAUAGUUAAGCAGAGUUUACAUUAAGCUAGCUACAAUCCAACCAUUAAGAUCAUGCAUAUGCAGAAAUUGUACA
Long non-coding RNA from Argiope bruennichi, 577 nucleotides. RefSeq lists it as uncharacterized. NCBI's taxonomy places the organism in Eukaryota, Metazoa, Arthropoda, Arachnida, Araneae, Araneidae. The record is from RefSeq and is a predicted model, not a curated record. The transcript is spliced from 3 exons.